Molecule: ribosomal RNA, 486 nt
Filed under: uncultured bacterium
Lineage: Bacteria
Description: bacterial SSU rRNA
Rfam family: Bacterial small subunit ribosomal RNA
Source: RNAcentral
GCNAACGANGGCGGUGCGCUUUAUGCAUGCAAGUCGAGCGAGAAGCGUUGGUUCCGUAAGGUCCCGACGUGGAAAGCGGCGAACGGGUGCGUAACACGUGAGAAACCUGCCCCCCAGACCGGGAUAGCCCAGGGAAACUUGGAUUAAUACCGGAUACUCUCUCCGGACCGCAUGGUCUGGUGAGGAAAGGUCCGCUGCUGGGGGAUGGUCUCGCGGCCUAUCAGGUAGUUGGUGAGGUAACGGCUCACCAAGCCGAAGACGGGUAGCUGGUCUGAGAGGACGAUCAGCCACACUGGAACUGAGACACGGUCCAGACUCCUACGGGAGGCAGCAGCAGGGAAUAUUGCACAAUGGGCGAAAGCCUGAUGCAGCGACACCGCGUGCGGGAUGAAGGCCUUCGGGUUGUAAACCGCUUUCAGGAGGGAAGAAACUGACGGUACCUCCAGAAGAAGGCCCGGCCAACUACGUGCCAGCAGCCGCGGUAAU